This 520-nucleotide ribosomal RNA is filed under the name uncultured Glomus. Its description in RNAcentral is "SSU rRNA". It matches the Rfam family "Eukaryotic small subunit ribosomal RNA", at positions 569 to 1082 of the family's 1831-position model. The record is from RNAcentral. Lineage: Eukaryota; Fungi; Glomeromycota; Glomeromycetes; Glomerales; Glomeraceae.
AGCAGCCGCGGUAAUUCCAGCUCCAAUAGCGUAUAUUAAAGUUGUUGCAGUUAAAAAGCUCGUAGUUGAAUUUCGGGAUUGACACAUCGGUCGUGCCUUAAGGGGUGUGAACUGGUGUAGUCAAUUUCUCACCUUCUGGAGAACCGCGAUGUCCUUAAUUGGGUGCCGCGAGGAACCAGGACCUUUACUUUGAAAAAAAUUAGAGUGUUUAAAGCAGGCAUUUUUGCUUGAAUACAUUAGCAUGGAAUAAUAAAAUAGGACGGCAUGAUUCUAUUUUGUUGGUUUCUAGGAUCACCGUAAUGAUUAAUAGGGAUAGUUGGGGGCAUUAGUAUUCAAUUGUCAGAGGUGAAAUUCUUGGAUUUAUUGAAGACUAACUACUGCGAAAGCAUUUGCCAAGGAUGUUUUCAUUAAUCAAGAACGAAAGUUAGGGGAUCGAAGACGAUCAGAUACCGUCGUAGUCUUAACCAUAAACUAUGCCGACUAGGAAUCAGACGAUGUUAAUUUUUUAAUGACUCGUUUG